CGCUAGCGGCAGGCUUAACACAUGCAAGUCGAGGGGUAACAGGGAGCUUGCUCCGCUGACGACCGGCGCACGGGUGCGUAACGCGUAUAGAACCUACCUUUUACAGAGGGAUAGCCUUUAGAAAUGAAGAUUAAUACCUCAUGGUAUUGGAGAUUGGCAUCAAUCACUAAUUAAAGAUUUAUCGGUAAAAGAUGGCUAUGCGUCCUAUUAGCUAGAUGGUAAGGUAACGGCUUACCAUGGCAACGAUAGGUAGGGGCCCUGAGAGGGGGAUCCCCCACACUGGUACUGAGACACGGACCAGACUCCUACGGGAGGCAGCAGUGAGGAAUAUUGGGCAAUGGAGGCAACUCUGACCCAGCCAUGCCGCGUGCAGGAAGAAGGCUUUCUGAGUCGUAAACUGCUUUUGACAGGGAAGAAUAAGCUGGACGUGUCCAGUGAUGACGGUACCUGCAGAAUAAGCACCGGCUAACUCCGUGCCAGCAGCCGCGGU
This 490-nucleotide ribosomal RNA is filed under the name Minutocellus polymorphus. RNAcentral's name for it is "partial Bacterial small subunit ribosomal RNA". It matches the Rfam family "Bacterial small subunit ribosomal RNA", at positions 34 to 521 of the family's 1533-position model. Lineage: Eukaryota; Bacillariophyta; Thalassiosirophyceae; Cymatosirales; Cymatosiraceae. The record is from RNAcentral.